CGCCGCCCGGCGGGCACAGCGCCUGCCCCGGGGCGUGGAGGGUGCCGCGUGCCCUGCGAGAGGUCUUGCCGUAGAAACGCUUCCCUCGCUGCGCUGUAAAAACGUAUUUUCAGCUCCGUCGCCGUUGUGAAAGCAAAUCAGUGCAGUAUGAAGGCUGUAUCACAACUCCAGCUUGGACUUAGUCCUUUUCACUCCAUCUACUGGACUACCAGAUUUACCUGUGCCUAGACAUGUCCCUUCAGGAUAUGUACUGACUGAAGUGAGGAGGAAGCUGAGUCUGCAGGAGUAACUGCUGUAUUUCAACAAGAACUGACCAUGCAAGCUGUGGCUUCAAAGCCUUUUGAACUCCAAGCAAAAGCACGGGCAGAUGGAGCAUUCAGUCAGGCUCUUUGCCCAUCCUUCUGCAAAUGGCAGGAACGAUGAAAGCAGCAUAAAUAAUAGAGAGGAGCACAGCACGGAAAAAUAAAUGGCUAAAGAACUCAGAAGCAAUACUUCUGGAAUUUCUCUCCUCAUCAUUUUCUAAGUCCUAGAACCUUCUACUUCCCCUGCUAGCUAAAGAAAAGAGAUCAGUUUAACUCAGGCAUGUAAGGACAGUUCUUUCUUCGAACUUAAUUGCAAGAAAAGCCUGUGGAAGGUAAUGCAGAUGUAAGGGAUGUGACUGCGCACGCCAGACAGACACUGCCAGCAUCAGUUCUUCCUACUUUCCCCAGCCGUUAAUUACUCACUGGAGAUUAUGCCCCCAGUGCAAUUUCUUUGUUCUCCAGCUUUAUUACAACACAGUGAACUCUUCAGGAGUGUAAGUUUUUGCCAACAAGAAGCAAAUUAAUGACACAUUACCGUGUGUUUCCGCUGUCAUCACAAGUGAACACAGUACUUGUAAGAGAUGCUAUUUGCAGACCUCUUAAAGCAAAGACCUUGGAUCUAGCCCCAGCUAUGGCACAGUGAGCCAACCACAGCUCUACAAGAUACAAGAUACAAGGCUGCAGUGAUCUAAGUGGUGCCUCAACCAAACCUUUAACUCCAUCCAAAUAGAAACACAGCACAGCAACACAACCUCCCUCUGCACUGCCCUGUUAACUCAUCAUCAGUGCAGCUUCUCAGGCUAUUCCACCACCUGGUGGAACCCAAGAACGUACUCCAUUAAAUGUCAGCAAACUAAUUGCUAGCCUGUCAAAAUACAGCAUAUAUGACCGCUGACAGCUCUCGCUGGCUGUGUAUGAUUUAGAUAGUCUUUGUUAUCAUUAUCCCAUGCAAUACAUUGUAUAAUCAACAAAUAUACAGAGUGGUGUGUUUAGGCUGGUAUCUGCAGAUCGUACAGCUAGAAAGAUUGUCAUGUUGGAAAGGGAUAAUUGAAAAUAAAUGAAAAUGCUCACCGAUGUCCUAGGCUCACAGAAAAAACUCCAAGAGGAGCAAUCUCCAACCAGAGAUCCUUCUCCAGUGACAGUUAGCCCUUGAACGGGGUCGAGGAGAGGUGCAUCCAGGCUCCACCCCUUCCGAUCACACAGCUGGAUUGCCUUCACCUGUGCUCCCAGGGCUGACUCAGCCCUUGCCUCAGGUGAUCAAUCAGAGGUUCAGGCCGUGACUCAACAGUUCCCAUACAUACAUAGAUUGUCAUUUUUAAACAGACAAAAUGUACAUAUUAUAAUAAAUUCUUCAUAUGUAUGGUACAGAGUGCCAUGUAUAGGUGGUGCUACGCCACACAUUAUCCAGUAAUAGGUAUUACCAAAUCAUUUGCUUUCAUCGUUCUCACCAGUAGAUGAUCACGGUUUGUUUUCUUCCAAACACCCACUUUGUUAUUUCAUAUCCACUUAUUAAGGAAUAUCCUUAUAUUGUGAGUGGCAAGAAAUGUGGAGAGAGGCCAUAUACCAAAGUGCUGUGUCAACCUGCAAGGACCUGCAGAGGGCAGGACCAUGAGGUUCACUGGUUUGGGGGUAUUACCCAGCACUCCAGAGCUGUUCUAAAGGUCACGCAUUCUGUGCAUAAAUAGAAGUGUUGCUAACUGAUCUUUGCUAAACUGACUGGCUACUUGCUUAGACAGCCCUGAACAAAUAUUAAUUGAAACAAUCCAGAGGGCACAUUAUCUCUGAAGAAACCAAAGAUGUUCCGUUGACUUUGGUCUCAAUUACUCAACAGCUUCCACACAGAAAAAGCACACUCGUGAAAGAAGUCAAUCUACUGCUUUAAUACAAAACAUAACUAGAAAGGGUUCAUGCAGAAUCCUACUGUUUCUGUGAUGACCCCCUUUAGGAAAGCACAACUCGGAGAGGGAAAAUUGCUAGAAAGCUGCUGUUUCAUGUGCAUCAUUUGUCUGUGAGAUCUGAAUCAUCAGCUUAACUGCUGAAUUACUCUUUCUGCCUUAAGAUAUGAGAGAGGGAUUCUGAGGGAAACAGAUCAAAAGGCAGCCUUUCCUCCAGCAUAGCACUGAGUGCAGGAGCCAGUUAAAAGUCAUUGCCUUUGUUCUUUGUAGAGUACAAGAACCAGUCUUCCCAUACAUCUUAGCAAUACUGAGAAGCAGAUGAAGCAGAUGAGGAAAAAGAGUGCCUACCUCUCCUAACUAUUUCGCUUCUGCAAAAUAAAGAGUCCAGAUUAGUCAGAGUUACUUGUUGUUAAAUCUAGCAGCCACUUCAGCAAGAACAAUGACAGAAAACCUUGCAGUAACAGGAUUCACUGUGAGGGUGUGAGGGUUGCUGUGCCAUACUUUACAGGGAACCAUUCUGCUUAAUGGUUUAGCAUCUGCUAAGCGUCAGAGUCGGUGAUGUGUUGGUGACAGCGCAGAACUGCUGAAACACAGGACAACAAGCAACAUGAAAAAGCAGAUGCUGAGGCUGUUCAGGCCCUUGAAAAGGGCACUCAUGACAAGAAAGCUCCUGUGAUUCAAUUCAAGGGCUUCACAUCUGGAACAAAACACUUUUUGCAGGGUGCAUGAAGAGGAGCUGGUAACUUUAUAAAGAUAGCACACUCCAGAAGGCUUGGUUCUUUACUGCAAACAAAGCUGGUAGACUUCAAGCAAAACUACGUAGGCUAUAAUGAAUAUUUUUGACUGUAGGGAGAAAAAUGAAUGGCUUGAGUCCAGAAACUCUCUGCCUACAUACAGAACUAGGUCUGUAGGAGAUCCUUAUUCAGCAAGUUUCCUACAAAAGACAUUAAUUUACAUUUUCUUGUUUAAACAACUUUCUCCAUGUGAGAAAUUCCAGCAGACACAGGCUUGGAGGAAUGAAUGAGUGCUGCAAAGAAUUCUGUACAUCACAUAUGGACACUUGUGACUGCUACCAUUCUGGGGUCCCAAAGAUGAUGCAGACACCAGGACAUCAGUCCCUGUUAAUCUGCAGCUGCUCUCCUCCUGGCAGUGCAGUUUGAGAUACAUGAGGUCCUAAAAGGGCUCAGAUGAAAGGAAAGGUUUCUUUUAAUUGUCAUCACUGUUAAUGAACAACUUAGUCCUGUUCAAACAUUCAGACUGUGAUAUGGGUAAGUGUCUCAGUUUAUCAUGCCCUCAAUCUUUUGAACAGCUAGGUUUUAUUUGCUAAGCUCUGGCUGGUCCAAAAGGAACAAGCUUACCCUGAGAGAGAUUGGCUGAACUUGCGGCCUGGACUUUAGAUAAAAAAAUGUUCAGGAUUUGAUGCAAUUUUGCCUCAGCUACUUUUGCCAAGCUUUGAGCUGUCCUUGCAAACCCAGCAACUAAAGCAAACUUCCCUGGAACCCUCCUGCAAAAUAGAAAGGCAUAGUCUCAUUUCAAAAGGCUUUUACUAGGAGGUUCCAUGUCUACAAGUUAAAGAGAAAUGAUGAGUCUUUGUGCCAAAACGAAAAAUACAAACACAAAUGAAUGUGCUAGUGUUAGCUAUGGUUUUCUAUUUUCUAUGCAAUUAGAAUAGCCAUGUGAAAUAAUUAAACAGUGACAACAUGUACUCCUCGUACUGUUGCAUAAUAGCUUCCCAUGAAUUUAUUAAUCAAUGUAUAGCUGUUGAAAUAUUCAAUAUGUUGUGCUGGGGCAUUCCACUCUUGUCCCCAGGGUGAACUCCUUUCCUAUUGCUCUGGCUCACUCAGCAUCAGUACUGUUGACAUUUUCAAUGAUACUACAGUUUUAUCUUUGAGAUUUUUUGAAGAAAAAAUGUUGCAACAAAGACAAAAUACAUCAAACGAGAUGUCCAGCUGUCCACAGAAACAAAGGCCUAUCUUCUGUAAGUGACAUUCAACUAAUUCAAGGCUGCCAGAACUUCUUCCAUGCUCUACCAAACCUGAAAGUGGCACAAUCACUACGGAGUCCUGCAGCACUAACUGACAAGUGUUUUUCAGAACAAAGAUGAAUACUUCCAUAAAUUUAAAAACCAAGCAAGAAAGGUCUUUGCCCAGAGCGCCAAAUACCAAAGGCAUGAUGUGUAACACCACCUUUCCUGUUGGGCUGAUUUCUCCUGUUCCACAGCAGCGCCCAAGAAGUCCUGUGCCUGUAGUAAUUUGGUCUGCAAGAGGAGUCUGUAAGACAAAAUUGAAUGGAAAGUGCUGUAUUCUUUUUACAAUUAAUUCAUGCAAUUUUCAAAUUGACUUUCAAAAAAGCACCAGACACACCCGAGGAAAUAAACCAAUGAUGUGAAUUGCUGCCUGAAACCAUUAUAUAGGUAAUAGCUUGCAUUUAUUGUGGUGGUG
RNAcentral lists this long non-coding RNA (4638 nucleotides) under Gallus gallus (chicken). RNAcentral describes it as "lncRNA (ENSGALG00010015641.1)". Lineage: Eukaryota; Metazoa; Chordata; Aves; Galliformes; Phasianidae. The record is from RNAcentral.